Molecule: long non-coding RNA, 1415 nt
Organism: Diceros bicornis minor
Lineage: Eukaryota; Metazoa; Chordata; Mammalia; Perissodactyla; Rhinocerotidae
Exons: 3
Source: RefSeq, a predicted model, not a curated record
UUGCCCCAAUUAGGGCCUCUCUCCAGCGCGGCCGGCUCGAGCCGUCUGAAGGGUCUCCUCGGGGACCCGCGGAACCCAUCAGCGGCUAGAGCUGCUCUUUAAGUAAAGGGCAAGCAGGACGCGGGAGGAGCCAGGACUCACAAAACCCCAUAGAGCUGGGGAGGAUGAACUGAGACGACCCAGGUGAAGCACACCCUCUGGACACAGAAAUGACAGCAGUGUUUGUGCACGUCGGCUGAAUGUUAGUUGCACACAGGAACCUGUGCCUUAUAGACUCAAACUUGCUGAAUCUUUGCAACAAGCCUGUGAGGACGUGGGUGCAGUGGACUUGAAAAGCAAUGACCGAUGCUCGCAGGCAGACCUGGCAUUGGGAGCGGCGAGAAAACGCCACCUCCAUUCUGCAGGAGACCAGAAGGCCGUGGGUGGAACAUCUGGGCACAUCUCAGAUUUGUGGCUACCUGUAGGAUCAUCUUGGCCCGGAAACCACUGGAAUCUGUCCUUGCCCUGCUGGGAGAGCUAGCUUCCCGCUCCCAGCACUUAUCACACCUUAUUUCGUAUGUGUGUCUCUGGGCCUGCCUCUCCCACAGGGGCAGAGCCUGGAUGGCUUCCCUUGCACCAUCCCAAGGCCCAGGACACGGUGGGACCCAAAUGGUGCUUGAACCUGGGAGCCCAAACUGUAUCCAAAACGUCACUGUUCCCUCCAAGUUCCAGAAUUGCCCAGCCUCUCCUGCCGGCUUCCACGGCUCAGUCUUUCAGUCUUCCAUUCUUCCCAAGUGCCAGCAAUCAAGGUCAAACUCUUGCACAUGCCCCCGGCUUCUCUCGACCCCGGAACCUGACUUCCCUUCUCACCGGCGCCUUUGCCCUUUUCCUCCUCCCUCUAAACUGCGCAUGCGCCUCUGGCGUCCCUCCCAGGACCCAUUUACCUUCGUGGGCUGGCCCAUCCUUCCUCUUUUAGAGGCUACGUGUGCUGUGUGUUUGGCCUCUGGCUCGCUGGGGACCAGAAAAACAAAAUUUAUCACUGACUGCCCUAUUUUUUUUUUUCUUUCCUUUUUUGUUUUUUUGCCUAAGAAUGAAGCAAGCACUUUUCUGCUAUAGUCAGAAAGAGCUUCAAACAUGGCAGGCCACCGGCAAAAGUGUAUCUUCCUUCUCAGAGGGAAGGAAUGUAACCGUUAACAAUAAAAAAAUCCCUGGGAUUUAUGGAAGCCUGGGGCCUAUGAGCCAUUUCACAUCCGUUAGUUCCUGUGAUACAGCAAUCCAGGGGGCAGAGCAAGAAUCAUCAUCUCCAUUUGAGAGACAGGGAAACUGAGGCUCAAGGCACAGGCUCCCAGCUGCUGGGGCUGGUGCAAAUUCCUUCCAUUUUGUAUGUGUAAACUGGGCUAAUUUGUUCAAUGUAAACAUUAAAAAUCUACGCGUGU